GGGGGUGUGGCGGAGUGGUCAUAACGCGAUCGCCUUGAAAGCGAUAGGCCCUUAACCGGGCUCGUGGGUUCGAAUCCCACCGCCCCCUCCA
RNAcentral lists this transfer RNA (91 nucleotides) under Oscillochloris sp. RNAcentral describes it as "tRNA-Ser". It matches the Rfam family "tRNA". From Rfam's summary of the family: Transfer RNA (tRNA) molecules are approximately 80 nucleotides in length. Their secondary structure includes four short double-helical elements and three loops (D, anti-codon, and T loops). Lineage: Bacteria; Bacillati; Chloroflexota; Chloroflexia; Chloroflexales; Oscillochloridaceae. The record is from RNAcentral.